UACAGAGGUGGCAAGCGUUGUUCGGAAUUACUGGGCGUAAAGGGCGCGUAGGCGGCCAUCUAAGUCAGACGUGAAAUCCCCCGGCUUAACCUGGGAACUGCGUCUGAUACUGGAAGGCUUGAGUAUGGGAGAGGGAUGUAGAAUUCCAGGUGUAGCGGUGAAAUGCGUAGAUAUCUGGAGGAAUACCGGUGGCGAAGGCGGCAUCCUGGACAGAUACUGACACUGAGGCACGAAAGCGUGGGGAGCAAACAGG
This 253-nucleotide ribosomal RNA is filed under the name uncultured bacterium. Its description in RNAcentral is "partial 16S ribosomal RNA". It matches the Rfam family "Bacterial small subunit ribosomal RNA", at positions 524 to 776 of the family's 1533-position model. The record is from RNAcentral.